This 1207-nucleotide long non-coding RNA is filed under the name Heterocephalus glaber (naked mole-rat). RNAcentral's name for it is "lncRNA (ENSHGLG00100046241.1)". Lineage: Eukaryota; Metazoa; Chordata; Mammalia; Rodentia; Bathyergidae. The record is from RNAcentral.
UGCCAGUCAAAUACUUUAUUAUACACCAGAGAGAAGGGAAAAGUACCGUAAAAUUCUUCAUUAUACACUGGAAGGGAGAGAAUUGCUGGAAAAUGAAAAAGUCUAGGGGGCUGUAAACAGGAAAUAAUCACAGCCUCCCACAGGUUUACAUAUAUAUCCUAGAGCCUCUCACCCUCAGAUCAUUCUCCUGUUCUCUCCCAGAUCCAACUUCACAUACAGUAGUCUCAUACAGACCACAUAAGCAGGACUCCUGCACAUCCACACCCACACACGUCCACUUGCUGCUCCAGAGAUUCUUGUCAAGUGUCCUCGGUGCAUCUUCCUUGACCUCCAGCAUGGCACCAUUCCUCUUCUUAGUGUAUUGAUGUUCUCACAUCAGUACAGGGGAUAAAAAUGAGACAAGGGUUUAAAUAGUAAGGGGAGAGGCAUAGUGGGGAUCAGAACAUACAUCUUGGGCAGGAAAUUGAGUUCAUGUCAACAUCCAAGUAUGAAAAUGAACCAGAGACCAUGAGUGUGCUAAAUGGCUGUGCUGUUUGGUGACUGUAUGUCCCUGCAGGAUGUGGGUACACCUGUGCAUUGUGUGUAUUCCUAUGCAGUCUGUUUGCUUGAGUGGUGUGGGGAUCUUUGUUCCAUGUGAGCAACCUGUGUGAUUUAGCUGUGUCUGUGCCUUGGUGUCCUUGCAUGUGACAGUGCAUAUGAGUAGAAGAGAGAGCAAUACUAAAGCUAUGGCACUGGACAAAGACAUCCUCAAUUCUGAUCAGGGAUGUGGCCUUCUACCUUGGGGUUCCUUUAGGCCCUGAUUCUAAUACCCACCCCUCAGCUCUGAGUGAGGCCAAAUACUCUGAGGACUCUGCUUUUUAGUAAACCAAUACUUACUUAUGGAGAAAGGGUGUGGUAUCUUCUGCUUUCUUCUUUUCAACCUCCUCAAGGAUGACUGGGGGGUACUUUGUCCUGUGAGAAGGAGUGAGUGUGGAGACUGUUCAGGCUCCUCCUUUCCAAAUCCCUUCCUCCAGCAUCCCAGCCUCCACACCGCCACCAUAUUACUUUGCCUCUUUCCCAGUUCCUCCUGCAAGGAAGAUUCUAAAACAAGUUCCCAGAUGUGGUCCCCAGCUUCUCCCCCUCACACUAGAGCCUUCCAGGAAGCUGGGUUCUGGGGUUCCAUUUUACCUACCUCCAGGUUCACCACACUGACAGAGCACAAGUUCAG